UAGAUACCCUGGUAGUCCACGCCGUAAACGAUGAUCACUCGCUCUUGGCGACAUGCUGUCAGGGGCCAAGCGAAAGCGUUAAGUGAUCCACCUGGGGAGUACGGCCGCAAGGCUGAAACUCAAAGGAAUUGACGGGGGCCCGCACAAGCGGAGGAACAUGUGGUUUAAUUCGAUGAUACGCGAGGAACCUUACCUGGGCUAGAACGGCAUAUGAAUUAGUUGGGAAACGAGCUAAGCCUUAAUGGCAUAU
Molecule: ribosomal RNA, 250 nt
Filed under: uncultured bacterium
Lineage: Bacteria
Description: partial 16S ribosomal RNA
Rfam family: Bacterial small subunit ribosomal RNA
Source: RNAcentral